Molecule: ribosomal RNA, 467 nt
Filed under: uncultured bacterium
Lineage: Bacteria
Description: partial 16S ribosomal RNA
Rfam family: Bacterial small subunit ribosomal RNA
Source: RNAcentral
ACGAACGCUGGCGGCGUGCUUAACACAUGCAAGUCGAACGGAAAGGCCCUGCUUUUGUGGGGUGUUCGAGUGGCGAACGGGUGAGUAACACGUGAGUAACCUGCCCUUGACUUUGGGAUAACUUUAGGAAACUGGGGCUAAUACCGGAUAGGAGCUCCUGCUGCAUGGUGGGGGUUGGAAAGUUUCGGCGGUUGGGGAUGGACUCGCGGCCUAUCAGCUUGUUGGUGGGGUAGUGGCUUACCAAGGCUUUGACGGGUAGCCGGCCUGAGAGGGUGAACGGCCACAUUGGGACUACGAUACGGCCCAGACUGCUACGGGGGACAGCAGUGGGGAAUAUUGCACAAUGGGCGGAAGCGUGAUGCAGCAACGCCGCGUGCGGGAUGACGGCCUUCGGGUUGUAAACCGCUUUCGCCUGUGACGAAGCGUGAGUGACGGUAAUGGGUAAAGAAGCACCGGCUAACUACGUG